AAUGUAUGACGCCGUUGACUUUUUAUCCAACGUUUGACCAUUCAUCUUAUUCAAAAAAUUUAUGUAAUUAUCAUUUAUUUUAUUAUGACUUGUUUCGUCAUCAAAUGUUCUUUGAGCAUGACAUAAAUAUUUUCAUAUUUACACAAAAAUUUUGAAUGAAACGAAUGGUCAAACGUUGGUCGAAAAGUCAACGGCGUCGUACAUU
MicroRNA precursor from Oryza rufipogon (brownbeard rice), 205 nucleotides. It matches the Rfam family "MIR812 microRNA precursor family". The record is from Rfam. NCBI's taxonomy places the organism in Eukaryota, Viridiplantae, Streptophyta, Magnoliopsida, Poales, Poaceae.